AAACAUAGCCUAUUCCAUAUGAUUGGGAUAUCUGGAUGGAUGUAUUUGGGGAAAAGAAAAAGAAGAGAGUCUUUGGACUUGGUUCUGUAGGUAGGAGUUUAAAACAGUCCUCCUCUUCCAACCAAUCAUCAACCAUAAUGCCCGAGGAUUAUGUUGAGAUAAAGAGCCAAGUUCAUGCCUUAACUGCAUCAUUACAACAAGAGCAAUAUGAGAAAG
This 216-nucleotide long non-coding RNA is filed under the name Elaeis guineensis (African oil palm). Its description in RNAcentral is "long non-coding RNA (EGUI_LNC012574)". Lineage: Eukaryota; Viridiplantae; Streptophyta; Magnoliopsida; Arecales; Arecaceae. The record is from RNAcentral.